CCUCCUAAGGGCGGAUUUAAUCGGAAAGUUCUCUAAUCCUUUGAUUUUGGGGAAAAUAGAAGACAAAUGGACCUUCUAAUACAUGCUAGUGCAGAAUCCCCCUUCAGGGGAAUUACCGCGAACAGGUGAGGAAACCCGGAAUUCAAGCCCCCCCGAGGCUGGGCCGGAGACGUAUUAGGUAGAAGGGCGGUGUCAAAGACCACCUUGCCGAAGAUGCGCAACCCUUUAAUCGGAAGUCACACUUUCACUGAAACAAGGGGAAGGCUCAUAAGUCCCCCCUAGGACGAGGCAGCAGUAGAGAAUAUUGUGCAAUAUACGUCAGUAUGACACAGAGAGCACACAUCACACUUAGCCUGUCAAAUUAAGUGCCAGCAGACGCGGUUAGACUUAAGGGCUAAGCCUUUAUAGGAAAAAAGGCGUAAAGGGUGUGUAGGCCGACAAUUCCCCCCCAAGGUGGUAAAUGGAAUUUUUCUGUAACGGUAGAAUGUGUGGAUAGAAAAUAGAACCCCAAAGGCAAAAGCAAUUUACCUCGGGGAACCCGAGCACAGGCUGAAACACGAGGGUGUGGGGAACAAACAGGAUUAGAGACCCUGGUAGUCCACACUGUAAACGAUGAAGAAAAUGUUAAUGCAACCCCGAAAGGUAGUAAUCUUCCGCCUGAGUAUUACGAUCGCAAGAUUAAAAUUCAAAAAAUUUGGCUGUUCACUGUUUCGAUUAGAGGAGCGUGUAGUUUAAUUCGAUAAACCGCGAGAUACCUUACCCAAACUUGAAUCACCCAUCCGAGAUUGAAUGGUCUCGGGAGGGUAGACCGGUAUUGCAUGGCCGUCGUCAGUUCGUGUAUGAAACCUUUAACGGACCUAACCCGGGGGGUUAGCCGCGGAUGAAGUCAGGUCUUAUGAUCCCUAUGUUUGGGGAUAAUAUGCGCUACAUUUUCUUAUACAAUGGGAAACCUGAAAGGUGAAACCCCAAAGUAGGAGUUCGGUAGGUCAUUGUAAGAUGACCGAAAGUUGAAUUUAAUAGUAAUCGGAAAGUAGAGCGUUCCGGUGAAAUGAUCUAAGUGUUAGCACAAAUCGCCCGUCACCUUAACUUAGAACGAUAGUACGGACGCAGCCCUGCCAGCUCGCAAUGUCGAGGCCCCCCCUCGAGGGGGGGAGAGGCUUCGGUGGUCACGAAUCUCUACGAAGUUAAGCAAGUCGUAACAUAGUGAGGGAAGGGGAACCUUCCCUUG
This 1228-nucleotide ribosomal RNA is filed under the name Epizoanthus rinbou. RNAcentral's name for it is "small subunit ribosomal RNA". It matches the Rfam family "Bacterial small subunit ribosomal RNA". The record is from RNAcentral. Lineage: Eukaryota; Metazoa; Cnidaria; Anthozoa; Zoantharia; Epizoanthidae.